Lucilia cuprina (Australian sheep blowfly) is the source of this 1888-nucleotide long non-coding RNA. RefSeq lists it as uncharacterized. The transcript has 2 exons. The record is from RefSeq and is a predicted model, not a curated record. NCBI's taxonomy places the organism in Eukaryota, Metazoa, Arthropoda, Insecta, Diptera, Calliphoridae.
UGAACUAGAACUGAACUAGAACUGAACUAGAACUGAACUAGAGCUGAUCUAGAACUAAACUAGAACUAAACUAGAACUAAACUAGAACUAAACUAGAACUGAACUAGAUAAAGAUCGCAUUAGAUUAACAUGUUCUGAAUAUCGCUGGAAUAGGAUAUCACAUAAUCGGCCUUGGCCGUCUAUAUUUCCUUACACAUUUCCACUUUCCCAUUUUGACUUUAUUGAUGUUAGUUUACUUUGUUGUUUGUUAGUCAAAUGUUCAAAAUUUUUGUUGUUAUUUUUUAACGCCUGUCGUUUUUUCCUCCUUUUUUCUGUGCAUACAUUUUUUUGUCGUUUUCUCAUUGUAUCUGACUUUUUUCGCUUAGGGCCUGUCAUUGUAUUCAAAAUACCUCCAUACUAUGGCUGCUGGUAGUUUUUCCCUUGUUUUUGUCUGUUGGUCUAAACACUCAUAUAUUACUACCUUGUAUAACCAGCGAAAACAAGGGGGGAAAUUGUCAUACUACCAGGCAGCAGCUGAUACUUUUGUUUUAAUUGACUUUAAGGUAAAACAAGUAGAAAAAUAUUAAAUAAAACUAAAAUUCAACGGUUAGGGAUAAAAAUGCUCAAAAAAAGUUUGCUAGUAAACUAAAAUGAACUUGAUAAGACUAUAUAAUGGAUUAGAAAAAAAUGGCUUGAAAAAAAUUAUAGCAAAGCAUUAAAGGUUGAGAAAAUUUUGUUAAUAAAACAGCUGGCGGCUGUUGUUGAAAAAAUGCACAAUAUUUUUGAAGGCGAAUUUUUAUUUUAAUUACAAAAUUGGUGAUUUUUAUAAGUUUAAGGUUUUUUUACUUCUAUUCUAAUUCAGUUUAAGUUUAGUUUUGCAGCUACAAUAUUUUUUUAUAUAUUAUUGAAAGCAUUUAAAUUUAAUUUUUCUUAUUUAUUUUAUUUUUUCAUAAAAUAUUUUAUUUCUAAAAUUUAAUUUUAAUAAUUUAUCUCUAUUUUUGUUCACUUAUUUUAGAAACCAGUUUCAAACCCCCUUUAAAAAACAAAAAACUGUGUGAUAUUAAAAAAAAUAUUUAAAAAAAAAUUCAAAAUUACUAAAAAUCAAUUGCAUAACAUAGAGAAUUUGCAUUAAAAUUUUAUAAAAAUUCCUAACUGUCUAUAGCAAAAAAGUGCAUAAUAUUAUACAUAUAUAAAAUUUAUUAAAUACAUUUAAACUGAAAAAGAGUAAAUUGAAAAAUAAUUUAACAAAAAACUAAACAAACAAUUUAUAAAUAAAAAAAUAUACAAAUUUAAACAAAAAAAAUCCAUAUCAAAGGCAACUAAAAAAACCACACUUUACGAUUUAGUGUGAAUUCUAUGGCAAAUUUUUAAAUAAGCUGAUGGUUUUUUUAUUCGAUUUACAGCAAAUAACAAAAAAAAAAACAAAUUUAUCGAAAAAAAAUAGUAAUUUAAAACCAUUGUUUGUAAAAAAACAAGUGUUUAACAUAUAAAUCAGUGUACAGAGUGAAGGCAACAAACCGCGAUAUAAACAAAAGUAAAUUAUAUAUUAUUUAUUGUUGCAGCUAAAACAACUAAAAAUAAUAAUUGAUUAUGCAAAAUAAUAUAACAACAACUAUUAACAAGGAAAUACAAACGGAUUAGUUUUUUUCAGCACUUACUCUUUCAAAACGUAUAGUCAAUCCCAAGAUAUUAGCAGCAACAUUUUUAGCGAAACAGCAAAAAAAUUAAAAUAUUUGAAAUGUUUAAAUUGUGACUAAAAUUUAAACCCUGGAAUUUCUAUAAAAAUUCUAACCCAAAAAAGACCAAAAAGUCUUACUAACCAAAAAGAUAAAAAAGCAAAAAAAUAAACACACAAAAACCACUCCAUGAUUGGCAGCUUGUUGUAGAAAGUAGAAAAAUCAAAAGCCAC